GACGAACGCUGGCGGCGUGCUUAACACAUGCAAGUCGAACGGAAAGGCCCUGCUUUUGUGGGGUGCUCGAGUGGCGAACGGGUGAGUAACACGUGAGUAACCUGCCCUUGACUUUGGGAUAACUUCAGGAAACUGGGGCUAAUACCGGAUAGGAGCUCCUGCUGCAUGGUGGUGGUUGGAAAGUUUCGGCGGUUGGGGAUGGACUCGCGGCUUAUCAGCUUGUUGGUGGGGUAGUGGCUUACCAAGGCUUUGACGGGUAGCCGGCCUGAGAGGGUGACCGGCCACAUUGGGACUGAGAUACGGCGCAGACUCCUACGGGAGGCAGCAGGGGGGAAUAUUGCACAAUGGGCGGAAGCCUGAUGCAGCAACGCCGCGUGCGGGAUGACGGCCUUCGGGUUGUAAACCGCUUUCGCCUGUGACGAAGAGUGAGUGACGGUAAUGGGUAAAGAAGCACCGGCUAACUACGUG
RNAcentral lists this ribosomal RNA (468 nucleotides) under uncultured bacterium. RNAcentral describes it as "partial 16S ribosomal RNA". It matches the Rfam family "Bacterial small subunit ribosomal RNA", at positions 28 to 507 of the family's 1533-position model. The record is from RNAcentral.